GCGCCCGUAGCUCAGGGGACAGAGCGGCUGCCUUCUAAGCAGCGGGUCGGGGGUUCGAAUCCCUCCGGGCGCGCCA
Molecule: transfer RNA, 76 nt
Filed under: Pseudomonadota bacterium
Lineage: Bacteria; Pseudomonadati; Pseudomonadota
Also listed under: 2 other names
Description: tRNA-Arg
Rfam family: tRNA
About the family: Transfer RNA (tRNA) molecules are approximately 80 nucleotides in length. Their secondary structure includes four short double-helical elements and three loops (D, anti-codon, and T loops).
Source: RNAcentral